CCUACGGGAGGCAGCAGUGAGGAAUAUUGGUCAAUGGGCGGGAGCCUGAACCAGCCAAGCCGCGUGAGGGAAGAAGGUACAGCGUAUCGUAAACCUCUUUUGUCAGGGAACAAAGGCGGGGACGUGUCCCCGGAUGAGUGUACCUGAAGAAAAAGCAUCGGCUAACUCCGUGCCAGCAGCCGCGGUAAUACGGAGGAUGCGAGCGUUAUCCGGAUUUAUUGGGUUUAAAGGGUGCGCAGGCGGUCUGUUAAGUCAGCGGUCAAAGCCCGGGGCUCAACCCCGGCCCGCCGUUGAAACUGGCAGUCUCGAGUUGGAGAGAAGUAUGCGGAAUGCGCGGUGUAGCGGUGAAAUGCAUAGAUAUCGCGCAGAACUCCGAUUGCGAAGGCAGCAUGCCGGCUCCACACUGACGCUGAGGCACGAAAGCGUGGGUAUCGAACAGGAUUAGAUACCCGUGUAGUC
Molecule: ribosomal RNA, 459 nt
Filed under: uncultured bacterium
Lineage: Bacteria
Description: partial 16S ribosomal RNA
Rfam family: Bacterial small subunit ribosomal RNA
Source: RNAcentral